AUUGAACGCUGGCGGCAGGCUUAACACAUGCAAGUCGAGCGAGCGGCGGACGGGUGAGUAAUGUCUGGGCAACUGCCUGAUGGAGGGGGCUAACUACUGGAACCGGUAGCUAAUACCGCAUACCAUCAGAUGUGCCCAGAUGGGAUUAGCUAGCAGGUGGGGUAAUGGCUCACCUAGGCGACGAUCCCUAGCUGGUCUGAGAGGAUGACCAGCCACACUGGGACUGAGACACGGUCCAGACUCCUACGGGAGGCAGCAGUGGGGAAUAUUGCACAAUGGGCGCAAGCCUGAUGCAGCCAUGCCGCGUGUGUGAAGAAGGCCUUCGGGUUGUAAAGCACUUUCAGCGAGGAAGCGUUACUCGCAGAAGAAGCACCGGCUAACUCCGUGCCAGCAGCCGCGGUAAUUC
This 406-nucleotide ribosomal RNA is filed under the name uncultured bacterium. RNAcentral's name for it is "partial 16S ribosomal RNA". It matches the Rfam family "Bacterial small subunit ribosomal RNA", at positions 30 to 526 of the family's 1533-position model. The record is from RNAcentral.